Molecule: transfer RNA, 75 nt
Filed under: Candidatus Omnitrophota bacterium
Lineage: Bacteria; Pseudomonadati; Candidatus Omnitrophota
Also listed under: 1 other name
Description: Candidatus Omnitrophica bacterium tRNA-Thr
Rfam family: tRNA
About the family: Transfer RNA (tRNA) molecules are approximately 80 nucleotides in length. Their secondary structure includes four short double-helical elements and three loops (D, anti-codon, and T loops). Further hydrogen bonds mediate the characteristic L-shaped molecular structure. tRNAs have two regions of fundamental functional importance: the anti-codon, which is responsible for specific mRNA codon recognition, and the 3' end, to which the tRNAs corresponding amino acid is attached (by aminoacyl-tRNA synthetases). tRNAs cope with the degeneracy of the genetic code in two manners: having more than one tRNA (with a specific anti-codon) for a particular amino acid; and 'wobble' base-pairing, i.e. permitting non-standard base-pairing at the 3rd anti-codon position.
Source: RNAcentral
GCCGAUGUGGCUCAAUGGUAGAGCAGGGCUUUCGUAAAGCUCAGGUUGGUGGUUCGAUUCCACUCAUCGGCUCCA